Molecule: ribosomal RNA, 470 nt
Filed under: Pseudomonas palleroniana
Lineage: Bacteria; Pseudomonadati; Pseudomonadota; Gammaproteobacteria; Pseudomonadales; Pseudomonadaceae
Description: bacterial SSU rRNA
Rfam family: Bacterial small subunit ribosomal RNA
Source: RNAcentral
CGCUAUCAGAUGAGCCUAGGUCGGAUUAGCUAGUUGGUGGGGUAAUGGCUCACCAAGGCGACGAUCCGUAACUGGUCUGAGAGGAUGAUCAGUCACACUGGAACUGAGACACGGUCCAGACUCCUACGGGAGGCAGCAGUGGGGAAUAUUGGACAAUGGGCGAAAGCCUGAUCCAGCCAUGCCGCGUGUGUGAAGAAGGUCUUCGGAUUGUAAAGCACUUUAAGUUGGGAGGAAGGGCAGUUGCCUAAUACGUAACUGUUUUGACGUUACCGACAGAAUAAGCACCGGCUAACUCUGUGCCAGCAGCCGCGGUAAUACAGAGGGUGCAAGCGUUAAUCGGAAUUACUGGGCGUAAAGCGCGCGUAGGUGGUUUGUUAAGUUGGAUGUGAAAUCCCCGGGCUCAACCUGGGAACUGCAUUCAAAACUGACUGACUAGAGUAUGGUAGAGGGUGGUGGAAUUUCCUGUGUAG